This 219-nucleotide ribosomal RNA is filed under the name Citrobacter freundii. RNAcentral's name for it is "partial 23S ribosomal RNA". It matches the Rfam family "Bacterial large subunit ribosomal RNA", at positions 1 to 220 of the family's 2925-position model. The record is from RNAcentral. RNAcentral also lists the same sequence under 2 other names. Lineage: Bacteria; Pseudomonadati; Pseudomonadota; Gammaproteobacteria; Enterobacterales; Enterobacteriaceae.
GGUUAAGCGACUAAGCGUACACGGUGGAUGCCCUGGCAGUCAGAGGCGAUGAAGGACGUGCUAAUCUGCGAUAAGCGUCGGUAAGGUGAUAUGAACCGUUAUAACCGGCGAUUUCCGAAUGGGGAAACCCAGUGUGAUUCGUCACACUAUCAUUACGUGAAUACAUAGCGUAAUGAAGCGAACCGGGGGAACUGAAACAUCUAAGUACCCCGAGGAAAA